GAAAGUGAUUUGCUAGCUUGGGUAUCAAGGCUGGAUUUGGGGCAAAAUAUGUCUAAACCCUGCCACUAAAGACAAGCUUCUGUAGCAACUCCUAGACUUAAAGGACCACAAUAACCAAAUAGUCCUUAAGGACUCUGUUUCACGUAUCUCUUGAGCACUAGUUAUCUCUGCAGCUAUAGAAGGCUACUUCUUUUCUGUGGGAGAAUAUAAUACAGAGUGCAAGGUUUGUGUUAGCCAUCAGAACUAAAGUGCAGACAGUACAGGUACUUUGGUCGAAUGUCUGGGUCCUGAGCACCAGGUGCUGUAGGAAAUGAUUUCCUUUGUAAAGCACAUUAAAAAUAACAAUAAUAAUAAUAUGUUCCUGAGUUGAUUACUUCUGUGUAUUUGAAAGUGAAACAAGCAGAAAGAGAUUUCUAGCUGAAGCCAGUAUCUUACAGGCACAAUUUGUAACUUGAUAAGGCACCCAGGAAAAUGACAAAGGGCAUGAAAAGCUACUGGCUAUGUUUUUUGUGAUACUUUUAAGCAGGCAGAUGCAAAGCAGCACCAAUUCUCACCCACCCACAUCUCAUCUCUCUCUCUCCCUCCCCACAGCUUAUUUUUAAAGCUUCAGAAGUUAUUAGUGGGUUAUCUCAGCUUUCUCUUUCCACCUGCACUCCUCUAUACCAUGAUGAAAAGAUUUGGCAAGUGAGACAUGGCAAGGACUGGGACAAUAUGCUGAGGGAUAUUCAUCAUGAAAAUAAUCCAGUCGACCAUUUGCUAUCAGCUAUAACCAGACAGCUCUGUUGGUGCGAGUGGCCCAAGAGUAACCUCUGCUGCCAUUGGACAGAGCUGCCCAAAGAAUUAGUUUUGCAUCUGAGCAUGGUGGAAAAUGAUGGAUGGAUCCAGCUAAUAUAAGGCAAAUUACCUAGUGAAGAAAAACACAACAAAAAGCCCUGACUGUUGUCAAAACACCUUUUCUACUCUUGCCUCCUGGAAAAGAUUUAUACUUCCAGCCCUGAUUUUUGAAGACUGUAUAAACAAGGCCAGUCUUAUGAAGUUUGUCCUCCUUCAGCCUCCCCUCCAUAUAACAAUUUACUCCAUCCAAUUUCUCUCCUAAAUACAUCUGUGUUCCUCAAACACCAUCAAAAUCAGCCUAAUUCUUCCCCUCCACUAGCACAGCGCUAGCAUAGCUUUCCCAAAUUUCAUUUCCCAUCCAGAGCUGGGACUACACAUGUUCAUUAUCUGAAAAUUUCCCUAAACAUCUGACCAAAGAUUCCAGCUACCAAGCAAAUCAGGGCUUUCUGCUGCUAUUCUUCUAAUCUCGUGCAUUUAUUUAUGCCAAAUCCCUAUUUGUCCAACCCAUCUCUCACUCACACAGGCAAUGGCAGUCUUCUAUAGCCAGGAAGCCUGGUCUGCCUGGGAACCACACCUGGGGUGACUGUUCAUUCAGCUGUCUCAUAGCAAUUCAGUGUUAAACUAAGGAGAAGAGAGAUGUGGACACAGUGAUAGUUAGCUCAAACUGGUAAGUCACUGUCAGCCUCUAUUUCAAAAGAUUACGAUAAAAUGAUAAUGGGAGACAAUCAGAGAGGACAGCAAGAUGGAUGAGGGCAACGAGGAAAGGAAUGAGAAAAGAUGGAAGAAGGGAAGCAGCAGAAUUUAAAAUGGGGGGAAAUGUUGCAAAAGGUACAAUCUGAUCAUCAUCAAGAUAUGCACCUACACACCAAGCACUAAGUAGAACGUAGUCUAUGGCACCAGGUGAGAUCUACUAGAAGGUAAAACUUCCAGAAUAUGUACAGUGGACAACAGUAUUUUAAUACUGUUUUGCUCCACGUGUUCUCUUCUAUUGCACUGCUCUACUUGUUAAUGUAGACCUUAAUGACUAUAGUAAUGCCAUAGUGUUAAGUCACUGAUAAAAAAACUGAGAAUCCCAUUAUGCAGGUUCUUUGAUUAAGCCAUAGAGCAUUCAGUAGAUAUCCUGCUAUUAAUACAUGAUGUUAUAAUCUGUGGACAGGAUGUAAUCAUAUCCAAAUUUAUACAGAACACCAUAUUGCCUUUGAGUAAGAAAAGUUAAUUUAUACUACACCAGCCUUUUGGUUAUGCAUGUGUGUGCAUCCAAUUGCUCCAGGCUCCGAGUAAAUGAUAUGGUCUAGACUUCAGGUAGUUCAUUAGAUCAAUACUCUAUCUCAUUACAUGGAUGGAAUUCACAGUGUCCUCCAAAACCCAAUUUCAUUUCUUUCACCUCUCAAAUUAAACACUACCUUAAAGGUUUAGUUGAUAGAUGACUCUGUUUUACGUGAUGAUGUUCUUCAAGGCACAUGUGGCAGUAUAUCUUAUCCUAUUAGUAAAGAUCAUUAGCUACAGCAUAAUUGCCUCUCUAUGACACAUAAUAGUUUCAUCUAUUUUUAUCGUUCCUGUCCUGUAAUUCAAUUUCAUGAUUAUGGUUUAACAAAUCAAGGGGUACGGCAAACAAUAUAUUUUAGCCAUCAUUUAAAGUAAAGUCAAGUUCCUGACAAGAUACAUAGGGUGGUGCUACAAGAUAUGUUUCCAUUUGACUAGUUUUGGUUAACAGAAAAGUAUGACUUACCCAUUCUCUCCCAUUUCUUAACAUAGAAAAAUACUGAAUCAGAAUAAAACAUUGCUAGAUUACA
Molecule: long non-coding RNA, 2627 nt
Organism: Anser cygnoides (Swan goose)
Lineage: Eukaryota; Metazoa; Chordata; Aves; Anseriformes; Anatidae
Source: Ensembl